Molecule: ribosomal RNA, 301 nt
Filed under: uncultured bacterium
Lineage: Bacteria
Description: partial 16S ribosomal RNA
Rfam family: Bacterial small subunit ribosomal RNA
Source: RNAcentral
CAGCAGCCACGGUAAAACGUAGGGUGCAAGCGUUAAUCGGAAUUACUGGGCGUAAAGCGUGCGCAGGCGGUGUUGUAAGACUGAUGUGAAAUCCCCGGGCUCAACCUGGGAACUGCAUUGGUGACUGCAACGCUGGAGUGCGGCAGAGGGGGAUGGAAUUCCGCGUGUAGCAGUGAAAUGCGUAGAUAUUCGGAGGAACACCGAUGGCGAAGGCAAUCCCCUGGGCCUGCACUGACGCUCAUGCACGAAAGCGUGGGGAGCAAACAGGAUUAGAUACCCGCGUAGUCCCUGUCUCUUAUAC